AUUGAACGCUGGCGGCAUGCUUUACACAUGCAAGUCGAACGGUAACAGGCCGCAAGGUGCUGACGAGUGGCGAACGGGUGAGUAAUGCAUCGGAACGUGCCCAGUCGUGGGGGAUAACUACUCGAAAGAGUAGCUAAUACCGCAUACGAUCUAUGGAUGAAAGCGGGGGACCGUAAGGCCUCGCGCGAUUGGAGCGGCCGAUGUCAGAUUAGGUAGUUGGUGGGGUAAAGGCUCACCAAGCCAACGAUCUGUAGCUGGUCUGAGAGGACGACCAGCCACACUGGGAAUGAGAAACGGCCCAGACUCCUAAGGGAGGCAGGAGUGGGGAAAUUUGGACAAUGGGCGCAAGCCUGAUCCAGCAAUGCCGCGUGCAGGAAGAAGGCCUUCGGGUUGUAAACUGCUUUUGUACGGAACGAAACGGCUCUGGUUAAUACCCGGGGCUAAUGACGGUACCGUAAGAAUAAGCACCGGCUAACUACGUG
Molecule: ribosomal RNA, 482 nt
Filed under: uncultured bacterium
Lineage: Bacteria
Description: partial 16S ribosomal RNA
Rfam family: Bacterial small subunit ribosomal RNA
Source: RNAcentral